Molecule: long non-coding RNA, 367 nt
Filed under: Setaria viridis
Lineage: Eukaryota; Viridiplantae; Streptophyta; Magnoliopsida; Poales; Poaceae
Description: long non-coding RNA (SVIR_LNC001331)
Source: RNAcentral
UUGCAAUUGAGGAUAUGCAUUGCCAAUACAUGAAAACAGGACAAAAAAUGUCGCUUGAAGCAGUGGGCCUAGCCAAUUAAUUAAUCAAAUCAUGCCAAUAGAAGAAAGGGGGUGGGGAAUAAAGAACGUGGGAGGUCGCACUCUUAAUUAGAUUAUUGUGACCCAGUAUGUCGGAAUUGAGGGUAGCAAGUGUCCCAAUAUACUCGCACCAAAUAAUAAUUUGGAGGAAGCAAAGCAUUGGUGUAGUAAUUAAACCAAAAUAGAUGGUCCAUGUAUAGCUAGAGCGAGUACACUACUGGUGUUUAUCUACCUUACUGAUGGUCUUACGCAGUGUUACUAAUAUCUUGAGAUUACUUGACAAAAAAAA